This 288-nucleotide ribosomal RNA is filed under the name uncultured microorganism. Its description in RNAcentral is "partial 16S ribosomal RNA". It matches the Rfam family "Bacterial small subunit ribosomal RNA", at positions 505 to 795 of the family's 1533-position model. The record is from RNAcentral.
GUGCCAGCAGCCGCGGUAAUACAGAGGGUGCGAGCGUUAAUCGGAUUUACUGGGCGUAAAGCGUGCGUAGGCGGCUUUUUAAGUCGGAUGUGAAAUCCCUGAGCUUAACUUAGGAAUUGCAUUCGAUACUGGGAGGCUAGAGUAUGGGAGAGGAUGGUAGAAUUCCAGGUGUAGCGGUGAAAUGCGUAGAGAUCUGGAGGAAUACCGAUGGCGAUGCAGCCAUCUGGCCUNAUACUGACGCUGAGGUACGAAAGCAUGGGAGCAAACAGGAUUAGAUACCCUGUAGCC